RNAcentral lists this ribosomal RNA (593 nucleotides) under Coronella austriaca. RNAcentral's name for it is "partial 12S ribosomal RNA". The record is from RNAcentral. Lineage: Eukaryota; Metazoa; Chordata; Lepidosauria; Squamata; Colubridae.
AUAAUAAUAACGGCGUAAAGCACGACUAACACUAAGUCUAAACAUUAGGGACGAAGCUAAGCUGGGCUGUAAAAAGCCAUAAGUCACACCAACCCAACCCUAAUAACUAAACGGCUUCCACUCGUGAAAGUUAGGGUACAAACUAAGAUUAGAUACCUUACUAUGCCUAACCAUAACACAACAAUUAAAUCACUUAUUGUUCGCCAAAUAACUACGAGUAAAAACUUAAAAUUUAAAAGACUUGACGGUACCUCAAAACAACCUAGAGGAGCCUGUCUAAUAACCGAUACUCCACGAUUAACCCAACCCACUCUGGCCCAACAGCCUAUAUACCGCCGUCGCCAGCCUACCUUGUGAAAGAAACAAAGUGGGCCAAACAGCCCCCACUAAUACGACAGGUCGAGGUGUAGCUAAUGGGUGGGUCAAAGAUGGGCUACAUUUUCUAACACAGAAAACACGAAUUGAUCUAUGAAAUAAAAACUGAAGGCGGAUUUAGCAGUAUGCUGGGAACAACAUACCCGGCUGAAAUUAAUGCAAUGAGGUGCGUACACACCGCCCGUCAUCCCUGUUAACACAACUAAAAAGUACAUAAC